UGUAAGCGUAUACCAAAGUUGUUGCAGUUAAAACGCUCGUAGUCGGAAUUUGGCAGUUCCGGAUGUGUGCACGUCGUGUGCGCACUUCGCGGGGAUUGCUUUUGUGGUCUUGCGUAGGAUGAGGCACUUUUAUUAGUGAACGUCCUCACGCAACCACUUUUUACUGUGAGAAAAUCAGAGUGCUCAAAGCAGGCAUUUGCCGUGAAUGUAUUAGCAUGGAAUAAUAGAAUAGGACUUGGUUCUAUUUUGUUGGUUUGUUGGGACUGAGUAAUGAUUAAGAGGGACAGUUGGGGGCAUUUGUAUUUCGGUGCUAGAGGUGAAAUUCUUAGAUUACCGAAAGUCAAACUGCCGCGAAAGCGUCUGCCAAGGAUGUUUUCAUUGA
This 382-nucleotide ribosomal RNA is filed under the name uncultured eukaryote. RNAcentral describes it as "partial 18S ribosomal RNA". It matches the Rfam family "Eukaryotic small subunit ribosomal RNA", at positions 592 to 976 of the family's 1831-position model. The record is from RNAcentral.